RNAcentral lists this ribosomal RNA (557 nucleotides) under denitrifying bacterium B(C2). RNAcentral's name for it is "partial 16S ribosomal RNA". It matches the Rfam family "Bacterial small subunit ribosomal RNA", at positions 353 to 906 of the family's 1533-position model. The record is from RNAcentral.
UAGGCCNAAUAUUGGACAAUGGGCGAAAGCCUGAUCCAGCCAUGCCGCGUGUGUGAAGGUCUUCGGAUUGUAAAGCACUUUAAGUUGGGAGGAAGGGCAUUAACCUAAUNCNUUAGUGUNUUGACGUUACCGACAGAAUAAGCACCGGCUAACUCUGUGCCAGCAGCCGCGGUAAUACAGAGGGUGCAAGCGUUAAUCGGAAUUACUGGGCGUAAAGCGCGCGUAGGUGGUUCGUUAAGUUGGAUGUGAAAGCCCCGGCUCAACCUGGGAACUGCAUUCAAAACUGUCGAGCUAGAGUAUGGUAGANGGUGGUGGAAUUUCCUGUGUAGCGGNGAAAUGCGUAGAUAUAGGAAGGAACACCAGUGGCGAANGCGACCACCUGGACUGAUACUGACACUGAGGUGCGAAAGCGUNGNGAGCAAACAGGAUUAGAUACCCUGGUAGUNCACGCCGUAAACGAUGUCAACUAGCCGUUGGGAGCCUUGAGCUCUUAGUGGCGCAGCUAACGCAUUNAGUUGACCGCUGGNGAGUACCGGCCGCAAGGUUAAAACUCAAAU